This 468-nucleotide ribosomal RNA is filed under the name uncultured bacterium. RNAcentral's name for it is "partial 16S ribosomal RNA". It matches the Rfam family "Bacterial small subunit ribosomal RNA", at positions 28 to 507 of the family's 1533-position model. The record is from RNAcentral.
GACGAACGCUGGCGGCGUGCUUAACACAUGCAAGUCGAACGGACAGGCCCUGCUCUUGUGGGGUGCUCGAGUGGCGAACGGGUGAGUAACACGUGAGUAACCUGCCCUUGUCUUUGGGAUAACUUCAGGAAACUGGGGCUAAUACCGGAUAGGAUCUCCUGCUGCAUGGUGGGGGUUGGUAAGUUUCGGCGGUUGGGGCUGGACUCGCGGCUUAUGAGCUUGUUGGUGGGGUAGUGGCUUACCAAGGGUUAGACGGGUAGCCGGCCUGAGAGGGUGACCGGCCACAUUGGGACUGAGGUACGGCCCAGACUCCUACGGGAGGCAGCAGUGGGGAACAUUGCAGAAUGGGCGGAAGCCUGAUGCAGCAGCGCCGCGUGCGGGAUGACGGCUUUCGGGUUGAAAACCGCUUUCGCAGGUGACGAAGCGGGAGUGACGGUAAUGGGUAAAGAAGCAACGGCUAACUACGUG